CUCCUACGGGAGGCAGCAGUGGGGAAUCUUGCACAAUGGAGGAAACUCUGAUGCAGCGAUGCCGCGUGAGUGAAGAAGGCCCUUGGGUUGUAAAGCUCUUUCGUCGGGGAAGAAAAUGACUGUACCCGAAUAAGAAGGUCCGGCUAACUUCGUGCCAGCAGCCGCGGUAAUACGAAGGGACCUAGCGUAGUUCGGAAUUACUGGGCUUAAAGAGUUCGUAGGUGGUUGAAAAAGUUAGUGGUGAAAUCCCAGAGCUUAACUCUGGAACUGCCAUUAAAACUUUUCAGCUAGAGUAUGAUAGAGGAAAGCAGAAUUUCUAGUGUAGAGGUGAAAUUCGUAGAUAUUAGAAAGAAUACCAAUUGCGAAGGCAGCUUUCUGGAUCAUUACUGACACUGAGGAACGAAAGCAUGGGUAGCGAAGAGGAUUAGAUACCCUCGUAGUCCAUGCCGUAAACGAUGUGUGUUAGACGUUGGAAAUUUAUUUUCAGUGUCGCAGGGAAACCGAUAAACACACCGCCUGGGGAGUACGACCGCAAGGUUAAAACUCAAAUGAAUUGACGGGGACCCGCACAAGUAGUGGAGCAUGUGGUUUAAUUCGAAGAUACGCGCAGAACCUUACCAACACUUGACAUGUUCGUCGCGACUCUAAGAGAUUAGAGUUUUCGGUUCGGCCGGACGAAACACAGGUGCUGCAUGGCUGUCGUCAGCUCGUGUCGUGAGAUGUUGGGUUAAGUCCCGCAACGAGCGCAACCCUCACUUUUAGUUGCCAUCAUUAAGUUGGGCACUCUGAAAGAACUGCCAGUGAUAAGCUGGAGGAAGGUGGGGAUGACGUCAAGUCCUCAUGGCCCUUACGUGUUGGGCUACACACGUGCUACAAUGGUAUCUACAACAGGAAGCAAAACUGCGAAGUUAAGCAAAUCCCUAAAAGAUACCUCAGUUCGGAUUGCACUCUGCAACUCGAGUGCAUGAAGCUGGAAUUACUAGUAAUCGUGGAUCAGCGUGCCACGGUGAAUGCGUUCCCGGGUCUUGUACACACCGCCCGUCACACCAUGGGAGUUGGUUCUACCUUAAGGCAAGGUUUCAAACCCUUGACCACGGUAUAGUCAGCGACUGGGGUGAAGUCGUAACAAGGUAGCCGUAGGGGAACCUGCGGCUG
This 1155-nucleotide ribosomal RNA is filed under the name marine metagenome. Its description in RNAcentral is "bacterial SSU rRNA". It matches the Rfam family "Bacterial small subunit ribosomal RNA", at positions 336 to 1520 of the family's 1533-position model. The record is from RNAcentral.